Non-coding RNA from Pelobates cultripes (western spadefoot toad), 472 nucleotides. Lineage: Eukaryota; Metazoa; Chordata; Amphibia; Anura; Pelobatidae. The record is from the annotation of a GenBank genome assembly.
GUAAUAAGCAAAAAAAUAAAUAAAAAAAAAUCAAUUAUACAUUGUCUUCCUUAUCAUGUUUGAUACAAGAUAAGCAUUAUUUUAAUGAAAACUCUACAGAACAAGAACACUUUCGGUGGCAGUGCAUAUGGAUACAAUCUUAGCUGCAACAGUAAAAAAAAACCAACUCAGUAGCUGAAUAAUUAUGCUUUUCUCUAAGUGUGUUAUCUGUAAAAAUUAAAGCUAGCUCUUGUGUUACUUUGAAGAAAAAUGUAAUGCUGUUACAAGCUGUGGAACACAAGUGAUCUAUUAAAUGCCAAAAGGAGCAUCAAGUAAGUUAGGAUAAAUAUGGUCCUCGAUUACAUUAGCCUUAUCAUGAAUACAAAUAAUUUAGUUGGGCAUGCUGUAACAUAGAUAUUUGAUAAAGGGUCUUUUGAAAGGAGAAUUUCAUUAUUAACUUUCUAUUUAAGAAUUUAACAUAUUUAAACUGCAG